GAGGGUAUAGCUCAGUGGUAAAGUGCAUGCUUAGCAUGCAUGAGGUCCUGGGUUCAAUCCCCCAUACCUCCA
RNAcentral lists this transfer RNA (72 nucleotides) under Camelus bactrianus (Bactrian camel). It matches the Rfam family "tRNA". Rfam says of the family: Transfer RNA (tRNA) molecules are approximately 80 nucleotides in length. Their secondary structure includes four short double-helical elements and three loops (D, anti-codon, and T loops). Further hydrogen bonds mediate the characteristic L-shaped molecular structure. tRNAs have two regions of fundamental functional importance: the anti-codon, which is responsible for specific mRNA codon recognition, and the 3' end, to which the tRNAs corresponding amino acid is attached (by aminoacyl-tRNA synthetases). tRNAs cope with the degeneracy of the genetic code in two manners: having more than one tRNA (with a specific anti-codon) for a particular amino acid; and 'wobble' base-pairing, i.e. permitting non-standard base-pairing at the 3rd anti-codon position. RNAcentral also lists the same sequence under 2 other names. Lineage: Eukaryota; Metazoa; Chordata; Mammalia; Artiodactyla; Camelidae. The record is from Rfam by way of RNAcentral.